Long non-coding RNA from Setaria italica (foxtail millet), 606 nucleotides. RefSeq lists it as uncharacterized. The transcript is spliced from 3 exons. Lineage: Eukaryota; Viridiplantae; Streptophyta; Magnoliopsida; Poales; Poaceae. The record is from RefSeq and is a predicted model, not a curated record.
CUCCCUCCCCCUUUCGCUGCCGGUAGGCCCCACAUGUUGGAAGCUUCUUCAAGCUUCGGCAGGCGCCGCCGCUUGAGCUCCCCGCACAUGCGCCGCUCGGUUUCCCGUCACCCCGGCUUCUCGGCGCCCCUCCGGCUUCUCCCUGCGUCGCCGUUGCGUCUCCUCCGCUUCCCCUCCCGCGAAACGAACAGCCUUCCACCAAGCCGCCAUUAAUGACCGGCCGAAGCUCUUCACCUUCCACGAGCCGUCUCUGUUCCCUCCCUCACUCUAUAAAUCGGGCGCCCAGUGCCCCUGCUAGCCGCUGCUGCCCACCUCACCUCGCUCGCCUUUUCGCCACCGAGUGCUGCCAUCGCCACCACCGCCGCCGCUUGCGCCAAAUCGCCACCGCCGCUGUGUUUCCCCGCCGCUGACUCAUCUCCGGCCGCUUCCGCCCAAAGCCUCCGCCGAUCUAACCCUGAAGUUUCAGCAUUUCGCGGGCUCUUUUCACUGAAUCUUGUGCCGAUGUUUCCUUUGAUUAGAAGGAUCGUCGUCCGAAGCUUUGAAGGUUAAGAGUUUCAAGAAAGCAAGAUUUAAAAAGCAGUGAGAGUAACUUUACGUUGGAGAAAG